CAGGUACAUACGGCACACUUAAUGUAGCCGAAUGGCGGGACGAACGGAUGCCAUGUUGUGCCAGAUGGGACAGCACUGGUCUUCAGGCUGGAUUGUGUGAGGACAUGAGAGCGCAGGACAGAUCACAGGAUCACAGAUCACCGUCUUCUUCUGCAGAAAUUCGAACAGAUCAUACGCAAAAUUAAUCUCAGUCACAGAAAUGAUUCAUAAAUCAAAGCUACAGCAGUGUGUGUGUUACCUGGCAGAUGCAGGUAAAGCAGGUGUUGUACUGCGGUGUCCACUGAGACCCAUGUGCAUGAUGUUCUCCCUCAAAGAAGCACGUGUGCGGGUCUUUCCUCAGCUCGGCCGGGUCACGGACAAAUACCAGUUCAUCAAACUCAGCUUCCUCGACCACCUCACCGCGGGAACCCAACUCACAGCUGUUGGGAACGUGAAUCUGGAAAACAAAGAUAUCCAUUAAAUACAAAGGUUUAACAUA
Long non-coding RNA from Carassius carassius (crucian carp), 478 nucleotides. RefSeq lists it as uncharacterized. The record is from RefSeq and is a predicted model, not a curated record. The transcript is spliced from 2 exons. NCBI's taxonomy places the organism in Eukaryota, Metazoa, Chordata, Actinopteri, Cypriniformes, Cyprinidae.